UCCCCGGAUGCCUUGUGAAUAGCGGUGAAAUUCCAAUCGAACCUGGAUAUUGCUGGUUCUCCUCGAAAUAGCUUUAGGGCUAGCGUGUGAUGUUAAACUUUGGUGGUAGAGCACUGAAUAUGGAAUGGCGGCGCCUAGCUGUACUGACUAUAAUCAAACUCCGAAUACCAUUGUGUAUUAUCAUGCAGUCGGAACAUCGGUGAUAACGUCGAUGCUCGCGAGGGUAACAACCCAGAUCGUCAGCUAAGGUCCCAAAAUUUAUGUUAAGUGAUAAAGGUUGUGAGGUUUCUCAAACAACUAGGAAGUUGGCUUAGAAGCAGCCAUCUUUUAAAGAGUGCGUAAUAGCUCACUAGUCAAGAGACCUUGCGCCGACAAUGUAACGGGACUAAACAUAAUACCGAAGCUACGGGCAUUAUUAAAUGCGUUAGAGGAGCGUUCUAAGGACGGCGAAGCUAAACCGUGAGGAUUAGUGGAGUGCUUAGAAGUGAGAAUGCCGGUAUGAGUAACGAUUCAGAGUGAG
Molecule: ribosomal RNA, 520 nt
Filed under: Falsochrobactrum shanghaiense
Lineage: Bacteria; Pseudomonadati; Pseudomonadota; Alphaproteobacteria; Hyphomicrobiales; Brucellaceae
Description: Bacterial large subunit ribosomal RNA
Rfam family: Bacterial large subunit ribosomal RNA
Source: Rfam by way of RNAcentral